GGUAGGAUCUGCUGCACCAGAUGGCGUAGAGUUGGCUCUGACAAAAUAUUAUAACAGGCAUGUUAAAAUAAAUUUACAGUUAGACAAUAUCUGGCUGGUGAAUAAUCCAACACAACACUGCAUAGUGGUAAAAGAAUGAAACAACUUGAUUGAAGACAGAACAAAUAAAUAAGACGUUCAUUGUCUACGUGCCGUGUCGCUUCUUAUCUUGCCAAACUUAAUGAGGGGUUAAGGCAUUCAAGGGAGCUUAGAGGACACUGGUUUAACCCCAUCGAGGCGGACUUCAAGAGCUGAAGACAUGAAGACAAAAGUUCCCAACAGUAAUCCAGAAACUGAUUUCCAGCGGGCUUUUGAUGUGUGGCAGACACGCCAAACUAAGUGUCUCGAUGCAGGAUGAAUGUAGGCUAUUUUGAAGAUUAUUAAGUCAUUGUAAUGAUACCUGCAAUAAAUUUUUAUUUUUGAAACCAA
Long non-coding RNA from Homalodisca vitripennis (glassy-winged sharpshooter), 468 nucleotides. RefSeq lists it as uncharacterized. The record is from RefSeq and is a predicted model, not a curated record. NCBI's taxonomy places the organism in Eukaryota, Metazoa, Arthropoda, Insecta, Hemiptera, Cicadellidae. The transcript has 2 exons.